This 424-nucleotide ribosomal RNA is filed under the name uncultured fungus. RNAcentral describes it as "SSU rRNA". It matches the Rfam family "Eukaryotic small subunit ribosomal RNA", at positions 323 to 755 of the family's 1831-position model. The record is from RNAcentral. Lineage: Eukaryota; Fungi.
CAAUCGUAUGGUCUUGGUUACGAUGGUUUCAACGGGUACGGGAAUUAGGGUUCUAUUCCGGGAGAGGGAGCUGAGAAACGGCUACCACAUCCAAGGAAGGCAGCAGGGCGCAAAUUACCCAAUCCCGACACGGGAGGUAGUGACAAUAAAUAACAAUAUAGGGCUCUUUUGGGUCUUAUAAUUGGAAUGAGUACAAUUUAAAUCUCUUAACGAGGAACAAUUGGAGGGCAAGUCUGGUGCCAGAGCCGGGUAAUUCCAGCUCCAAUAGCGUAUAUUAAAGUUGUUGCAGUUAAAAAGCUCGUAGUUGAACUUCAGAUCUGGUUGAGUGGUCCGCCUAAGGUGUGUUAUUGGUUGAAUUGGGUCUUGUCUCUUGGUGAACCGGUUGUGUCCUUUAUUGGAUGCUUCGGGGAACCAGGACUUUUAC